RNAcentral lists this transfer RNA (71 nucleotides) under Amblyrhynchus cristatus. RNAcentral's name for it is "tRNA-Ser". It matches the Rfam family "tRNA". Rfam says of the family: Transfer RNA (tRNA) molecules are approximately 80 nucleotides in length. Their secondary structure includes four short double-helical elements and three loops (D, anti-codon, and T loops). Lineage: Eukaryota; Metazoa; Chordata; Lepidosauria; Squamata; Iguanidae. The record is from RNAcentral.
GGGAAAGAAGCAUUAUGGUAAUGUGGCUAGCUUGAAACUAACUGAAGGGGGUUCGAUUCCUUCCUUUCUCG